AUUUAAAUAGUUUAAUAAAAAUAUUGAUUUGUGAAGUCAGGGAUAUAGAUAGUCUAUUUUAGAUA
This 65-nucleotide transfer RNA is filed under the name Tetartopeus terminatus. RNAcentral's name for it is "tRNA-His". The record is from RNAcentral. Lineage: Eukaryota; Metazoa; Arthropoda; Insecta; Coleoptera; Staphylinidae.